GAAGAGUGCUGGUGCCUGAUGGGUGUUCAACAAGUGUUUGUUGAGAAUUCAGGAAGGGCUUGGCCAGGUGCUUCUGGCUAGGAGAGCUCUGCACAGGUGCAGUCCCACAGCUGCUGGACAGCUGAUGCAACUGGGCGCUGGCUGGAUAGCCCUCUUCAUGGAGACCUGGGGUUGCUCCAAGUGGCUGCUCUGCGUAGGAUGUUUGGGCUUCCACACAGCAUGGCUGCCACGGGGCAGUCUGACUGCUGACAUGGUGACUGAUGACUGCAACUUCAGGAGCAAGUAUUCCAGGGACCAAAAUGGAAGCUGUACCACCUUUAGCAAUCUAGCCUCUGAAGUCACAUAGUGUCUCUCCUGCCAUAUUCCAUGGAUCACAAUAUUCACAGAAGCCAACCCAAUUUUGAGGGGAGGGGACAUGGAUUCCCCCAUCCCUGGAAGGAAUGUCAAGGUGACAUUGUAAGAGGAGCGGUUGAGUUGGCAGAUGUUGUUGUGGCCACUUUUGGAAAAUAAAAUCAUCCACAGGAAUCAAACCUAAAAAAAGACUGGAAGUCAUUGCCCCUGGGGAGUGGAAUCAGGGCUGAGGAGGGUUUGAGGGUAGGGAACUGUGAAGUUAGAUCUUAGC
Molecule: long non-coding RNA, 622 nt
Filed under: Homo sapiens (human)
Lineage: Eukaryota; Metazoa; Chordata; Mammalia; Primates; Hominidae
Description: HSALNT0252321
Source: RNAcentral